This 1400-nucleotide ribosomal RNA is filed under the name Geranolichus canadensis. RNAcentral's name for it is "eukaryotic LSU rRNA". It matches the Rfam family "Eukaryotic large subunit ribosomal RNA", at positions 73 to 1249 of the family's 3401-position model. Lineage: Eukaryota; Metazoa; Arthropoda; Arachnida; Sarcoptiformes; Pterolichidae. The record is from RNAcentral.
GAUUCCCUUAGUAGCGGCGAGCGAAAAGGGAAGAGUCCAGCGCCAAGUCUUGACGCCUCGAUGUGUUCAAGAGAUGCGGCGUUGAUGCGUUGUCGCAUCGUGCGUUGCCUUGCGUGUCAAGUUCCUCUGACAGGGACUCCCAGAGCGGGUGCUAGGCCCAUAGACAUGCGAGGCGGACGUACGCCGGACAGCGUAUUCUAGAGUCAGGUUGCUUGAGAGUGCAGCCUAAAGUCGGUGGUAGACUCCAUCCAAGACUAAAUAUGACAGCGAGACCGAUAGCAAACAAGUACCGUGAGGGAAAGUUGCAAAGCACUUUGAAGAGAGAGUUCAACAGUACGUGAAACCACUGGGAGGCAAACAGAUGGAACCACGAAGUGUGCGCCCCGGGCGAUUCAAUCUUGGUUGGUGGCCGUCGACGGACGACCAGGGUCUUUUCGGAGGCCGGUCGYACGGCGUCGGGUCGCCAACAACGGUGCAUUUCGUUCCGGGGAUGCAAAGCCACGUUCGACUUGAUAGUUGGGACGGCCGUAUGGGGAGGGUCUGGGAAAGGUGCCCGGCAGAUGCUUGCGUUUGUCGGCGUUAUAGUCCCGGACCGGAACCGUCGCCUAACAUACUAGUCGAUAAAAGUACUCCGCAAGGAGUCRAGCUAAGCUUUCAGGCGCCAGCGGAAGYCGUUCGGUUGUUGUUUGCGCAUCUUGCGGUGUGAAAAUGCAGCCGGGCGUGCAGCCGUUUGUGUUUGAUUGCGUUUUUAGCGUGAACUGUGGCGCGAGUAGGUCGGUGUCCAUUUGACCCGUCUUGAAACACGGACCAAGGAGCCUAACAUGUGCGCGAGUCGCUCGGUCUUGUUUAGGCCCGGGAGGCGUAAUGAAAGUAAAGCUACGAGGCCGCUUGCGGUCGCAGUAGUGGCCCGCCCACUCCGUUUAUUGGCGGUCGGGCGGAGCCGGAGCGCACACGUUGGUACCCGAAAGAUGGUGAACUAUGCCUGGGCAAGACGAAGCCAGAGGAAACUCUGGUGGAGGUCUGUAGCGAUUCUGACGUGCAAAUCGAUCGUCAGACCUGGGUAUAGGGGCGAAAGACUAAUCGAACCAUCUAGUAGCUGGUUCCCUCCGAAGUUUCCCUCAGGAUAGCAGGCGCUCGUUUCGAACCAGUGUCAUCCGGUAAAGCUAAUGAUUAGAGGUCUUGGGAUUGAAACGAUCUCAACCUAUUCUCAAACUUUAAAUGGGUGAGAUGGUCGACUUUCUUGAUUGAAGCCGACCAUUAGGAUGGUGAGUGCCUAGUGGGCCAUUUUUGGUAAGCAGAACUGGCGCUGUGGGAUGCUCCAAACGUCGAGAUAAGGCAUCAAACACUUACGCUCAUGAGACCCCAUGAAAGGUGUUGGUUGCUAUAGACAGCAGGACGGU